RNAcentral lists this ribosomal RNA (451 nucleotides) under uncultured bacterium. RNAcentral describes it as "partial 16S ribosomal RNA". It matches the Rfam family "Bacterial small subunit ribosomal RNA", at positions 29 to 523 of the family's 1533-position model. The record is from RNAcentral.
AACGAACGCUGGCGGCAGCCUUAACACAUGCAAGUCGAACGGGCGUAGCAAUACGUCAGUGGCAGACGGGUGAGUAACACGUGGGAAUAUCCCUCUCAGUUCGGAAUAACUCAGGGAAACUUGAGCUAAUACCGGAUACGUCCUUCGGGAGAAAGAUUUAUCGCUGAGAGAUUAGCCCGCGUCUGAUUAGCUAGUUGGUGAGGUAAUGGCUCACCAAGGCGACGAUCAGUAGCUGGUCUGAGAGGAUGAUCAGCCACACUGGGACUGAGACACGGCCCAGACUCCGACGGGAGGCAGCAGUGGGGAAUAUUGGACAAUGGGGGCAACCCUGAUCCAGCCAUGCCGCGUGAGUGAUGAAGGCCUUAGGGUUGUAAAGCUCUUUUGCCAGGGAAGAUAAUGACUGUACCUGGAGAAUAAGCCCCGGCUAACUUCGUGCCAGCCGCCGCAGUAA